Mus musculus (house mouse) is the source of this 201-nucleotide long non-coding RNA. RefSeq annotates it as predicted gene, 53388. The record is from RefSeq and is a predicted model, not a curated record. Lineage: Eukaryota; Metazoa; Chordata; Mammalia; Rodentia; Muridae. The transcript is spliced from 2 exons.
UGUGAAAUUGGGACCCAAAACCUCCUGGGCGAGUUAGAUGGACAACGGUGGCUCACAGAAGCCAGAAAACAAGAUGUUAUGCAGAUCCCGACCCCAACCACUGCUCGCCAGGUAAGAGAGUUCCUGGGGACCGCCGGGUUUUGCAGACUCUGUAUUCCCGGAUUUGCCACACUGGCAGCUCCCUUGUAUCCACUAACCAAA